UGGGGUGACUGCGUACCUUUUGUAUAAUGGGUCAGCGACUUAUAUUCUGUAGCAAGGUUAACCGAAUAGGGGAGCCGGAGGGAAACCGAGUCUUAAUUGGGCGUUAAGUUGCAGGGUAUAGACCCGAAACCCGGUGAUCUAGCCAUGGGCAGGUUGAAGGUUGGGUAACACUAACUGGAGGACCGAACCGACUAAUGUUGAAAAAUUAGCGGAUGACCUGUGGCUGGGGGUGAAAGGCCAAUCAAACCGGGAGAUAGCUGGUUCUCCCCGAAAGCUAUUUAGGUAGCGCCUCGUGAAUUCAUCUCCGGGGGUAGAGCACUGUUUCGGCUAGGGGGCCAUCCCGGCUUACCAACCCGAUGCAAACUGCGAAUACCGGAGAAUGUUAUCACGGGAGACACACGGCGGGUGCUAACGUCCGUCGUGAAGAGGGAAACAACCCAGACCGCCAGCUAAGGUCCCAAAGUCAUGGUUAAGUGGGAAACGAUGUGGGAAGGCCCAGACAGCCAGGAUGUUGGCUUAGAAGCAGCCAUCAUUUAAAGAAAGCGUAAUAGCUCACUGGUCGAGUCGGCCUGCGCGGAAGAUGUAACGGGGCUAAACCAUGCACCGAAGCUGCGGCAGCGAACGUAUCACCCAAGACAACUUUACGGAGUUGACGAUUGACGGAGCGAAGCGACGUCAAAGCGUUCAUUAAAGUCGAGUUGGCUUAGGGAUACGUUCGUUGGGUAGGGGAGCGUUCUGUAAGCCUGUGAAGGUGUGUCGUGAGGCAUGCUGGAGGUAUCAGAAGUGCGAAUGCUGACAUAAGUA
Molecule: ribosomal RNA, 804 nt
Filed under: Salmonella enterica
Lineage: Bacteria; Pseudomonadati; Pseudomonadota; Gammaproteobacteria; Enterobacterales; Enterobacteriaceae
Description: partial 23S ribosomal RNA
Rfam family: Bacterial large subunit ribosomal RNA
Source: RNAcentral